Molecule: ribosomal RNA, 852 nt
Filed under: Escherichia coli
Lineage: Bacteria; Pseudomonadati; Pseudomonadota; Gammaproteobacteria; Enterobacterales; Enterobacteriaceae
Description: partial 23S ribosomal RNA
Rfam family: Bacterial large subunit ribosomal RNA
Source: RNAcentral
AGCGUCUGGAAAGGCGUGCGAUACAGGGUGACAGCCCCGUACACAAAAAUGCACAUGCUGUGAGCUCGAUGAGUAGGGCGGGACACGUGGUAUCCUGUCUGAAUAUGGGGGGACCAUCCUCCAAGGCUAAAUACUCCUGACUGACCGAUAGUGAACCAGUACCGUGAGGGAAAGGCGAAAAGAACCCCGGCGAGGGGAGUGAAAAAGAACCUGAAACCGUGUACGUACAAGCAGUGGGAGCACAGAGCAAUCUGUGUGACUGCGUACCUUUUGUAUAAUGGGUCAGCGACUUAUAUUCUGUAGCAAGGUUAACCGAAUAGGGGAGCCGAAGGGAAACCGAGUCUUAACUGGGCGUUAAGUUGCAGGGUAUAGACCCGAAACCCGGUGAUCUAGCCAUGGGCAGGUUGAAGGUUGGGUAACACUAACUGGAGGACCGAACCGACUAAUGUUGAAAAAUUAGCGGAUGACUUGUGGCUGGGGGUGAAAGGCCAAUCAAACCGGGAGAUAGCUGGUUCUCCCCGAAAGCUAUUUAGGUAGCGCCUCGUGAAUUCAUCUCCGGGGGUAGAGCACUGUUUCGGCAAGGGGGUCAUCCCGACUUACCAACCCGAUGCAAACUGCGAAUACCGGAGAAUGUUAUCACGGGAGACACACGGCGGGUGCUAACGUCCGUCGUGAAGAGGGAAACAACCCAGACCGCCAGCUAAGGUCCCAAAGUCAUGGUUAAGUGGGAAACGAUGUGGGAAGGCCCAGACAGCCAGGAUGUUGGCUUAGAAGCAGCCAUCAUUUAAAGAAAGCGUAAUAGCUCACUGGUCGAGUCGGCCUGCGCGGAAGAUGUAACGGGGCUAAACCAUG